CAUGCAGGCGGUUUCGUAAGUUUGAGGUAACAGCUCCCGGCUCAACUGGGAGAGGGUCUUGAAAACUGCGAGACUUGAGGGCUCAAGAGGGACAUGGGAUUCCGGGUGUAGUGGUGAAAUGCGUAGAUAUCCGGAGGAACACCAAUGGCGAAGGCAGUGUCCUGGUGAGUACCUGACGCUCAGAUGCGAAAGCUAGGGGAGCGAACGGGAUUAGAUACCCCGGUAGUCCUAGCCGUAAACGAUGACCACUAGAUGUACGGAGUAUCGACCCUCUGUGUGUCGCAGCAAACGCACUAAGUGGUCCGCCUGGGGAGUACGGUCGCAAGAUUAAA
This 332-nucleotide ribosomal RNA is filed under the name uncultured bacterium. Its description in RNAcentral is "bacterial SSU rRNA". It matches the Rfam family "Bacterial small subunit ribosomal RNA", at positions 568 to 898 of the family's 1533-position model. The record is from RNAcentral.